This is a small nuclear RNA of Otolemur garnettii (small-eared galago), 167 nucleotides long. Its record names the gene U1. It matches the Rfam family "U1 spliceosomal RNA". From Rfam's summary of the family: U1 is a small nuclear RNA (snRNA) component of the spliceosome (involved in pre-mRNA splicing). Its 5' end forms complementary base pairs with the 5' splice junction, thus defining the 5' donor site of an intron. NCBI's taxonomy places the organism in Eukaryota, Metazoa, Chordata, Mammalia, Primates, Galagidae. The record is from Ensembl.
AUACUUACCUGGCAGGGAAGUAUAAAUGAUCCAUGAUCACAAAGGUGGUUUUCCCAGGGCAAGGCUUAUCCAUUGUACUCCGGAUGUGCUGACCCAUGGGAUUUCCACAAACGUGAGAAACUCAACUGAGUAAUUUGUGGUAGUGGGGGACUGUGUUUGUGCCCCAA